UACGUAGGUGACCAGCGUUGUCCGGAUUUACUGGGCGUAAAGAGCGCGCAGGCGGUCGUUCAAGUCGAGUGUGAAAGCCCCCGGCUCAACUGGGGAGGGUCAUUCGAUACUGAUCGACUCGAAGGCAGGAGAGGGAAGCGGAAUUCCCGGUGUAGUGGUGAAAUGCGUAGAUAUCUGGAGGAACACCGGUGGCGAAGGCGGCAUCCUGGACCGAUACUGACGCUGAGGAGCGAAAGCCAGGGGAGCAAACGGG
RNAcentral lists this ribosomal RNA (253 nucleotides) under uncultured bacterium. Its description in RNAcentral is "partial 16S ribosomal RNA". It matches the Rfam family "Bacterial small subunit ribosomal RNA", at positions 524 to 776 of the family's 1533-position model. The record is from RNAcentral.